AACACGUGGUUGAUUAGUAGAUAAAUAGGGCCUCAUGCAGCUCUUACAUCCUUUCUGCUCGUAACGCUUAAUGGAGUUGAAACCUCUUCAAGUAGACCAGUGUUAAAAAAAUAUAUGUUAUAAUGUUUAGCGCCGCGCGUGUUUCAAUAUUUAUUUUAAUUACGCGUUAGUGUUUAGAUAUACAUCCCAACUUAACGCGUUAACAGGAAGCGGAGCAGUUUUUGGGUUGGUUACCGGAGUUUUAGUCGCCGACCAGCGUCAACAUAUUCUUACCGCUUCAGUAAACAUGUAGGCUGUAAGGAAAGGGCGGGUUCACAGUCAUACCUUUGUGAAAUGGACUCAUCGGAUAAUUUUCGGAACCCGCGUUUGGCAAAUGGAGGUGAGCUGAAACCACGUGUUUCCUCAUGCAUUUGGACUGCUUGUUAGUUCGUGCUUCUGAUAGCCAGUGAUGUGGUCAGGCUGUUUUUUUAAAUUGAGGUAUAGUUUGUUUCAUAUUAGCACAGUCGUUUUUUUUAACGGUGACUACUUGACUUAUUUUGUUUAUCAUGCUACUUUGAAUAAUUGGUUUCAAAGCGUAUGCAAACAUUACUUAAAAGCAACACUUAAUUGACUGAACAUGUACUUUGAUAGUCAUUGCAUGCUAAUAUGAUUUCCCUAUUUAUAAUUUGUGAAUUAAUAUUCUUCUGAUGUUAUAUUAAGGAUAAUGUAAAACAAACUAAGAGUAAAAUCCCUUAAACGUUAAUUUAAGUCUUUUAUUAAUUGUGAAUUGUAUUUGUUCGUGGUAAUUUUGUUUGGGUAUUUCAAUAUAAGUUUCUGGCAUUCACUUUUACUACUGAGUAACCCAGUUUUAUUAAACUAACUUGCAUUAAACGUGUAGACAUUUCUCAUGGUCUCUGCUUAGAAGGUAAAUGUAAGCUGAUUGUCACAAAUGAUUUAAAACCGCUUCAAUAAAUGUACUUUUUGAUCUGA
This is a long non-coding RNA of Danio aesculapii, 969 nucleotides long. RefSeq lists it as uncharacterized. Lineage: Eukaryota; Metazoa; Chordata; Actinopteri; Cypriniformes; Danionidae. The record is from RefSeq and is a predicted model, not a curated record. The transcript is spliced from 2 exons.